Molecule: long non-coding RNA, 1349 nt
Filed under: Physcomitrium patens
Lineage: Eukaryota; Viridiplantae; Streptophyta; Bryopsida; Funariales; Funariaceae
Description: long non-coding RNA (PPAT_LNC009040)
Source: RNAcentral
CAAGAAUAGCUUGCAACAGAUGGUAGCAAGAUCCUUUGGUGGGUACAGAGAAAUGAGUUGGGAGAACCAUAUGAGUUAGCCACGAUUAAGGAAGCUCUUCAGAAGCAGUGUCUUGUGCAGAAUUUCCUUGAGAAGGAAGAGAGUCUUUGGUGUAGGAGCUACUGGAACUACUGCAUUAGGCGCUUGUCGAGCUUUGGAAAGCACGGUGAGAUGUCCACUGGUGGUUGAUAAGAUGACAGCCCUGUGUGAGGGAGUUGUGCACUUGAGGACCGUGUCAGAUCAUCUCUAACCAAGUGACGAGAUGGCUUCCGCUCUUCAAUGCGGUUCGGAUUCCUUCCUCUUGUGUCGGAGCUUUUCGGUGAUUUGUUCACUGUUGUGUCUGAUUUCAGAUAUUGUGUUCUCUACCGUGUACUCUUCGAUCAGUUGAUCGCCAGAUGCCUGUGCAUGUAUUUCCCGUAACCGCCGUGGAACUGGUGCAUCAAAAGUGGUGAAAAAUAGUGAGCAUAGGAAUGGGUGAUGAGAAGGACAGCGAGGUGUGGCACAUGCUGACCAGUAUUUCGAUUGACCUGAGCUUGAGCAAUUUCCAAUUACGACUCUCAGAGCAAAGAAAUCGGCAGCCGGAGGUCAAGGCUUCGAGGAGGCUGAAGAAAAUGUAGAGAAUCGCCUUCCAUUCGAGUAUUUAGACGUUCUUUGCUUGUGAUGCAAUCUCCCUAUUUUCAAAUCCUAUACAAUCGAGCAGGGUUUGGCAAAACAAGGAGCAACGUUGGACAUGUAUUCCGGAUAUAUUGGCUGCAUACAUAACCACGCAGUUCGAAACACGGGAUUGAUCACUAUGAAUCAAUUCAGGCUGAAGACAUGGCCCCCAUCACGGAGAAACUCGCUGUUGUCUCUGGACAGAAACAGGGCAUUUCAAUGCAUUCAGUGACAAAUACUGAUUACAAAAAGAUUGGUUGCAACUUGUAAUCUGGUGCCUCCUUCUUGUCAGGUCAAUAGGAAGAUGCUCCGCAGAAGAGAUAAUCGCAAUCAGAUCUUACACAGACAUAAUUUCAGUGGUGGUGUGCGUAUAAACGUGCGAAGCCUCAAUCGGUACCCUAACACAGUAAUUUGCUGCGUUCCAGACUGGUGAACCUUAAACAACAAACGCCAGUUCCUUCUAAAGCAUCUGUAAACAUAAGAGGAACAAGCCCCUCUCUUCACUUCCCCUCCUCCCGCUUACCAUUUUGAUGCUUAGUUGCCAUUCUGAUCAAAAUCUGGUUCAGCCAUGUGCUGUCAUUAAAGAGCAGGUCUACCCAAUAUCUGCGUCGUCAAACACCCUCGUUUUCCUGCCACAUGGUCUGCAGUGCAUUGCC